AUGAGGAUGAUAAUGAUGGCAAUGAGGGUGAUGAUGUGGAUGAAUAGGAUAUGGGUGGUAGUAAUAUUGAUGAUGAUGGUGAUGAUGAUAAGGCAGAUGUUGAGGAUGAAUAGGAAAUGGGUGGUAGUAAUAUUGAUGAUGAUGAUGAUAAGGCAGAUGAUGAGGAUGAAUAGGAUAUGGGAGGCAGUAAUAUUGAUGAUGAUGAUAAGGCAGAUGUUGAGGAUGAAUAGGAUAUGGGUGGUAGUAAUAUUGAUGAUGAUAAGGCAGAUGUUGAGGAUGAAUAGGAUAUGGGUGGUAGUAAUAUGGAUGAUGAUGAUAAGGCAGAUGUUGAGGAUGAAUAGGAUAUGGGUGGUAGUAAUAUUGAUGAUGAUGAUAAGGCAGAUGUUGAGGAUGAAUAGGAUAUGGGUGGUAGUAAUAUUGAUGAUGAUAAGGCAGAUGUUGAGGAUGAAUAGGAUAUGGGUGGUAGUAAUAUUGAUGAUGAUGAUAAGGCAGAUGUUGAGGAUGAAUAAGAUAUGGGUGGUAGUAAUAUUGAUGAUGAUGAUAAGGCAGAUGUUGAGGAUGAAUAGGAUAUGGGUGGUAGUAAUAUUGAUGAUGAUGAUGGUGAUGAUGAUGAUAAGGCAGAUGUUGAGGAUGAAUAGGAUAUGGGUGGCAGUAAUAUUGAUGAUGAUGAUAAGGCAGAUGUUGAGGAUGAAUAGGAUAUGGGUGGCAGUAAUAUUGAUGAUGAAAAUGAUGAUGUCCGAACUAUAA
RNAcentral lists this long non-coding RNA (747 nucleotides) under Oncorhynchus mykiss (rainbow trout). Its description in RNAcentral is "lncRNA (ENSOMYG00000053335.1)". The record is from RNAcentral. Lineage: Eukaryota; Metazoa; Chordata; Actinopteri; Salmoniformes; Salmonidae.